UACGGGGGGGGCAAGCGUUGUUCGGAAUUACUGGGCGUAAAGGGCUCGUAGGUGGCCAACUAAGUCGGACGUGAAAUCCCUCAGCUUAACUGGGGAACUGCGUCCGAUACUGGAUGGCUUGAGUUUGGGAGAGGGAUGCGGAAUUCCAGGUGUAGCGGUGAAAUGCGUAGAUAUCAGGAGGAACACCGGUGGCGAAGGCGGGUCUCUGGGCCGAUACUGACGCUGAGGAGCGAAAGCGUGGGGAGCAAACAGG
RNAcentral lists this ribosomal RNA (253 nucleotides) under uncultured bacterium. Its description in RNAcentral is "partial 16S ribosomal RNA". It matches the Rfam family "Bacterial small subunit ribosomal RNA", at positions 524 to 776 of the family's 1533-position model. The record is from RNAcentral.